RNAcentral lists this ribosomal RNA (392 nucleotides) under uncultured bacterium. RNAcentral describes it as "partial 16S ribosomal RNA". It matches the Rfam family "Bacterial small subunit ribosomal RNA", at positions 523 to 918 of the family's 1533-position model. The record is from RNAcentral.
AUACGGAGGAUCCGAGCGUUAUCCGGAUUUAUUGGGUUUAAAGGGUGCGCAGGCGGCCAUUUAAGUCAGCGGUUAAAUCGUGGGGCUCAACCCCAUUCUGCCGUUGAUACUGGGUGGCUUGAUUGCGGUCGAGGUUGGCGGAAUUCGUUGUGUAGCGGUGAAAUGCAUAGAUAUGACGAAGAACACCGAUUGCGUAGGCAGCUGACCAGACCGCAAGUGACGCUCAUGCACGAAAGUGCGGGGAUCGAACAGGAUUAGAUACCCUGGUAGUCCGCACAGUAAACGAUGAAUACUUGUUUUCGGCGAUAUAAUGUCGGAGGCAAAGCGAAAGCGAUAAGUAUUCCACCUGGGGAGUACGCCGGCAACGGUGAAACUCAAAUGAAUUGGCGGGG